UUUCACUAGGGGUGCUCAAUCAAUUGAGCUGAGAUUAGCAUAGUGUUUGCUUAAACCCUCAGGACCUGAUCUGGCUAGUACCAGCGUAGGGAAGUAAAAAAUCA
Molecule: non-coding RNA, 104 nt
Filed under: uncultured Ignatzschineria sp.
Lineage: Bacteria; Pseudomonadati; Pseudomonadota; Gammaproteobacteria; Cardiobacteriales; Ignatzschineriaceae
Description: TPP riboswitch (THI element)
Rfam family: TPP riboswitch aptamer (THI element)
About the family: Vitamin B(1) in its active form thiamin pyrophosphate (TPP) is an essential coenzyme that is synthesised by coupling of pyrimidine and thiazole moieties in bacteria. The previously detected thiamin-regulatory element, thi box was extended, resulting in a new, highly conserved RNA secondary structure, the THI element, which is widely distributed in eubacteria and also occurs in some archaea.
Source: RNAcentral